GGUAAAGAGAUUGCCUUGGUGAAGGUAGCUUGGGGAGGACCAGCAGGUGGCAAUGUGACUUGGGAACUGGAGAGUCAGAUGAAGGAAUCUUAUCCUGAAUUAUUCGCUUGAGGUAUGUUUCGAGGACGAAAACUCUUUUAGUGGGGGAGAGUUGUAACACCCCGAUGAAAUAAGGCUAAUUAUUUAAUUUAAAUUAAUAUAAUAUUUAUUAAUUUAAUUAAUUAAUUGGAAAUAUUAUUGGAUUAUUAUUGUUAUUAUUUUG
Molecule: long non-coding RNA, 262 nt
Filed under: Lathyrus oleraceus (garden pea)
Lineage: Eukaryota; Viridiplantae; Streptophyta; Magnoliopsida; Fabales; Fabaceae
Description: Pisum sativum (pea) long non-coding RNA (PSAT_LNC034130)
Source: RNAcentral